UGAAAAACUUUGAUGGAGAGAAGUAACUGUUUUUGCUUUUUUCAGAGAGCGCACUUUAUGGUGAAAUGUGUGUAUUUAGCAGGCAGUGAAAUGCACUCCGGAGUUUUCCGAAGGAAAUUCAGUAUUUCGGAACGGUUUGCUCCGUUAAAAGCAGGGCUGUUAGAGCAGUCAAGUAUAAAGAAGAGUGGAACCGCAGUUUUUAUUGCCUCUGUC
Molecule: non-coding RNA, 213 nt
Filed under: Clostridium sp.
Lineage: Bacteria; Bacillati; Bacillota; Clostridia; Eubacteriales; Clostridiaceae
Description: T-box sequence
Rfam family: T-box leader
About the family: Uncharged tRNA acts as the effector for transcription antitermination of genes in the T-box leader family. T-boxes are found upstream of many aminoacyl-tRNA synthetase genes and some amino acid biosynthetic genes usually in Gram-positive bacteria.
Source: RNAcentral